Gasterosteus aculeatus aculeatus (three-spined stickleback) is the source of this 462-nucleotide long non-coding RNA. Lineage: Eukaryota; Metazoa; Chordata; Actinopteri; Perciformes; Gasterosteidae. The record is from Ensembl.
CUCCACUGGCAGUGUGUCUUUUAUGAAGGGAGUACUCCUAGUUCAGUUCCACAAUGUGUUUUUACUGAUAUACCUCAACAACAAUUAGAUAAACUGGCAUGCAAUUCUGUACAGACAUUCAUGCUGUGGCAAUAUGAAGGCACCUGCGCUGAAUAAGAUGACGUCUAUGGCCCGAGUGUCCCGGGAGUCAAUGACCUCAGGUGUGAAACAUCACUCCCAGGGGAUCGGUGUGCAUUAGCGGUUUCCCAUGCAGCAGAUGGCAAGCCAUAGAGACAAUGAGUGGAUGCGACAGUCGAGCCAGGUAAAGCAGAGGGAGGGGUUGACGCGGGUUAAUCUUGAACUGCCUGUUGAAGGAGCGAAUUCAAACCCACAUGCUGCGGCGGGGUGGAAGGACUGCUGUUUUAUUACACAGUACGCAUAGUUUCCUAUACUUAUAACAACAAUGCAUGGUGGUUAGAAGAU